Molecule: ribosomal RNA, 157 nt
Filed under: Neofusicoccum parvum
Lineage: Eukaryota; Fungi; Ascomycota; Dothideomycetes; Botryosphaeriales; Botryosphaeriaceae
Description: 5.8S ribosomal RNA
Rfam family: 5.8S ribosomal RNA
About the family: 5.8S ribosomal RNA (5.8S rRNA) is a component of the large subunit of the eukaryotic ribosome. It is transcribed by RNA polymerase I as part of the 45S precursor that also contains 18S and 28S rRNA.
Source: RNAcentral
UCAACAACGGAUCUCUUGGUUCUGGCAUCGAUGAAGAACGCAGCGAAAUGCGAUAAGUAAUGUGAAUUGCAGAAUUCAGUGAAUCAUCGAAUCUUUGAACGCACAUUGCGCCCCUUGGUAUUCCGAGGGGCAUGCCUGUUCGAGCGUCAUUUCAACC